This 22-nucleotide small nuclear RNA is filed under the name Arabidopsis thaliana (thale cress). Its description in RNAcentral is "snRNA_07805". The record is from RNAcentral. Lineage: Eukaryota; Viridiplantae; Streptophyta; Magnoliopsida; Brassicales; Brassicaceae.
AACUCCGUUGACCAAUAAGGAU